Molecule: long non-coding RNA, 1900 nt
Organism: Bubalus bubalis (water buffalo)
Lineage: Eukaryota; Metazoa; Chordata; Mammalia; Artiodactyla; Bovidae
Exons: 2
Source: RefSeq, a predicted model, not a curated record
ACCACCAGAUCUCAGCUCAGGCUUUGACACGCCCCCUCAAACUUCCACAGGGCUUUAAAACCUGCGGCUUUCCCUGGGUGCCUGCACCCUGUGCGGGGCCUCUCCUCACUACGAGAGCGGUGAACGACUUUCAGCUUCUGUCUGUAGUGACCCUGGCCUCUCUGCAGAGACGCUCAGGCACCCCUGCGAAUUAAGUCGCAGCCAACGCCUGACUGAAAGCAAGGCAAUAUUCAUUAUGUUUUCCGAGAGAGCCAGAACGACUUCCUUUAUGCAAGACCUCCUCCUGUGCUGUCUAAGGCACCUUGUGUGGACUUAUCUCGAGGGUAAGAUGAUGCUCUUUCUUCCAAAUGAAUCACCCUACCAAGACGUGUUAAAGGAGUUUAUUGAACUGGUUUGUCUGCGUGCAAUGAAACCUAGUUUGAACUGUUUGACAGGAAAGAUUGCUGGUGCUACGAGAAACUGGUUUCUCGUUUCCGUUGCACCCAAGAUGUCGUGUUGCUCUAAGAAAGAACGUGAUGAAGCAAUACGGACAAAUCCGGUUUAAACGGCAUUUGGAACGACUUGGCAACGAUUUGCUGAGGGAUACUUGACGUCCUUGUCGCGUCUCAAGGAAGACGAUCAGCUGAACUAUGAACGAGAAUUGAAAGGAUUUGAAAACGGCAUGACUUCUACACCUGUUUUGUGUGCCGGUCUACUUGUUUGAGAGCGGAGUAGCCUCACCCACCACACUUCUUGGCCAGCAGUGUGAGGUUUCAGGACGACAUCCGCCUUCAAGGAGAUGCAGUGGAAGCCUGUUUCAUGUGCUAAGGACACAGACAUCUCACACCUUCUGGUCCCUUCCUGGGGUUCUGAGGCAACACAGUGCUCAUGUACACAUCUUCCUUCCACAUUAGAGUCAACAGACAGUCCCGUCAGCGCCCUCAGAGAUGCCUGCACUCAAGGAGCUUCGGGAAUUGUGUCUCCCGCCAUCUGGAGUCUCUGCACGGCUUCUGAUGGCCACAACGCGCCCAAGGAUUCGGGUGCAAUGACACUACCCCUAGCAAGCUUUCUCAGCCCUCUCGAGACACAAGUACCCCCAUAUUUGAUUCUCACACACACGUAGCUCUUAGUCCCACGGUCCCGGUCCCCGGCUUCUCAUAGACUGCCUCCAGAGCUCCAAACACACUCGGCUUAUUGAAAAAGGGAUAUGCCAGCAGGUGGCUUGGCUCCCCCCACCCCCCCCCCACUCUCCACUUCCUGGAGCGCUUUUUUUGUCUGCCAACCACCAGAUCUCAGCUCAGGCUUUGACACGCCCCCUUCAGACUUCCACAGGGCUUUAAAAUCUGCGGCUUUCCCUGGGUGCCUGCACCCUGCGCGGGGCCUCUCCUCACUACGAGAGCGGUGAACGACUUUCAGCUUCUGUCUGUAGUGACCCUGGCCUCUCUGCAGAGACGCUCAGGCACCCCUGCGAAUUAAGUCGCAGCCACCGCCUGACCGAAAGCAAGGCGAUAUUCAUUAUGUUUUGCGAGAGAGCCAGAACGACUUCCUUAUGGAAGACCUCCUCCUGUGUUGUCUAAGGCACCUUGUGUGGACUUAUCUCGAGGGUAAGAUGAUGCUCUUUCUGCGAAAUGAAUCACCCUACCAAGACGUGUUAAAGGAGUUUAUUGAUCUGGUUUGUCUGUGUGCACUGAAACCUAGUUUGAACUGUUUGACAGGAAAGAUUGCUGGUGCUACGAGAAACUGGUUUCUCGUUUCCGUUGCACCCAAGAUGUCGUGUUGCUUUAAGAAAGAACGUGAUGAAGCAAUACGGACAAAUCCGGUUUAAACGGCAUUUGGAACGACUUGGCAACGAUUUGGUGAGGGAUACUUGACGUCCUUGUCGCGUCUCAAGGAAGACGAUCAGCUGAACUAUGAACGAGAA